RNAcentral lists this long non-coding RNA (1279 nucleotides) under Carassius auratus (goldfish). RNAcentral's name for it is "lncRNA (ENSCARG00000051696.1)". Lineage: Eukaryota; Metazoa; Chordata; Actinopteri; Cypriniformes; Cyprinidae. The record is from RNAcentral.
UAUAUAUAUAUAUAUAUAUAUAUAUAUAUAUAUAUAUAUAUAUAUAUAUAUAUAUAUAUAUAUAUAUAUAAUAUUAUUACUAUUAUUUUUAUUAGUGUAGCGGGUAGGGGAUUGAGACUGGAAGUGUACCUUUAAGGCCUAAUCACUGGCGCUGAUCAUUUGGAUCAGGUGGCGUAAGUGACGCGUCCCUUUAAAUGUGUUGCAAGACAUGAACAGAAAAACAUUAAUGCGGUGUGAGUUGAAGAGUGAGCCUCUUGGUGUAUCGUCUGUGCAAACAGGAGAAUGUGAGUUUUCUUGGAAGGUUAUGUCGAUUUAAUAUUGAACUUAAUGAGAACCGCUUAACACGGCUCGUUUGUUUGUUUGCUUGUAGUUCGGCUUGGUGUCUGCGUGUAUGGUAACCAGUAAAUGGUGCCAGUAGUCACGAGUCUACAGACUAUUGCAAAAUAGUGAGUAGUGAUUCUACAUGGGGUUUGAAGUAACGAGUAACAUCGAGGAGAGUGUCCAUUAAUCAUUCAUGCCGUUUAACUUUAUUGUUAAAGAGUAUAUAGUUCUUACUGAUUUGGGCUGGUGUCAAAAGAAAUGAGGAUUGCCUUCGUCGGCCACUAGCUACUGUUUUUCCUGGGUUUAAUAAUAGUGUUUCAUUUUGUAUUUUUUUCAUAUGUGUGUCUGUUUGGCAAUUGUCAUCAUUCAACCUUUGGCCAUGGGCAUUGUGCAAUAUUUCCUCUAGGGACCGUGUCCAUCUUGCAAUGUUUACUGGUGUGAAGUGUGAAAUGCUGUGUUAAUGUACGUAUGGCCAAUUUUGUUUGAAGUGUUUCUUGCAGUGUUGGAGUGUAUGUGAACCGUACCUAUAUAUCUGACUUUAUUCACUGUAGUUUAGGCAUUGUAGAUUUUUAUAUCUUGUAACUCAUUUAUUAUGAGAUUUUUUAUUCACUGUGAUUAAUCUAUUGUAGAAUUGUUCACUGUUACCUAUGGGAAACAUCUGUCUGCUCUGAUUGCCAAUCAUUGUAUUGUCUAGUGUUUAAUAAAAUUUAGUACAUCAGUCCCAUUUUUAUCCCUUCAUUGGAGAUAACCUGUUCAAAUAGCUUGCAGGGGAGUGCUGUUUGGGGUUUUCUACUCUAGAUAUACAAAUUGUGAGACUGAGCACGCCCCUAGGGGUCACAUUAUUAUUAAAAAUAUUGUCUUUCUACAGAGCCUCACUCAUGACACGCAAGAAGAUAAAUAAAUUGUGCCCACGAUUUACUAAUUCGUUCCCAUAACUAGUGCACACGAUUACUAUUGU